CUUGUACUGUGAAACUGCGAAUGGCUCAUUAAAUCAGUUAUGGUUUCUUUGAUGGUACCUUGCUACUUGGAUACCCGUAGUAAUUCUAGAGCUAAUACAUGCAGGAGUGCCCGACUUCGGAAGGGCUGUAUUUAUUAGAUAAGAAACCUUCUCGGGUUCGCCCGGUUGUGUGCUGAGUCAUAAUAACUGCUCGAAUCGCACGGCUCUACGCCGGCGAUGGUUCAUUCAAAUUUCUGCCCUAUCAGCUUUCGAUGGUAGGAUAGAGGCCUACCAUGGCGUUAACGGGUAACGGAGAAUUAGGGUUCGAUUCCGGAGAGGGAGCCUGAGAAAUGGCUACCACAUCCAAGGAAGGCAGCAGGCGCGUAAAUUGCCCGAAUCCUGACACAGGGAGGUAGUGACAAGAAAUAACAAUACAGGGCUACUUCUAGUCUUGUAAUUGGAAUGAGUACAACUUACAUCUCUUCACGAGGAUCAACUGGAGGGCAAGUCUGGUGCCAGCAGCCGCGGUAAUUCCAGCUCCAGAAGCGUAUAUUAAAGUUGUUGCAGUUAAAACGCUCGUAGUCGGGUUUCGGGUCGGGCCGAGCGGUCUGCCGAUGGGUAUGCACUGUUUGGCGCGGCCUUCUUUCCGGAGACCGCGGCUACUCUUAACUGAGCGGGCGUGGGAGACGGAUCGUUUACUUUGAAAAAAUCAGAGUGUUUCAAGCAGGCAGCUCGCUCUUGCAUGGUACAGCAUGGGAUGAUUGAAUAGGACUCCGGUGCUAU
This 762-nucleotide ribosomal RNA is filed under the name uncultured marine Phaeocystaceae. Its description in RNAcentral is "SSU rRNA". It matches the Rfam family "Eukaryotic small subunit ribosomal RNA", at positions 73 to 839 of the family's 1831-position model. The record is from RNAcentral. Lineage: Eukaryota; Haptophyta; Phaeocystales; Phaeocystaceae.